This 279-nucleotide ribosomal RNA is filed under the name uncultured bacterium. RNAcentral's name for it is "partial 16S ribosomal RNA". It matches the Rfam family "Bacterial small subunit ribosomal RNA", at positions 506 to 784 of the family's 1533-position model. The record is from RNAcentral.
UGCCAGCAGCCGCGGUAAUACGAAAGGGGCUAGCGUUGUUCGGAAUCACUGGGCGUAAAGAGUACGUAGGCGGUAUGGAAAGUUAGAUGUGAAAUCCCGAGGCUCAACCUCGGAACUGCAUUUAAAACUCCCAUACUAGAGACCGGUAGGGGAUAGUGGAAUUCCUAGUGUAGAGGUGAAAUUCGUAGAUAUUAGGAGGAACACCAGUGGCGAAGGCGACUAUCUGGGCCGGUACUGACGCUAAGGUACGAAAGCGUGGGGAGCAAACAGGAUUAGAUA